CUCGGAGGGAUCAUUAAAGAGUUCUAUAACUCCCAAACCCAUGUGAACAUACCUUACGUUGCCUCGGCAGGUCGCGCCUACCUAGUAGCGCCCUACCCUGUAGGGCCUACCCGGGAGACGCGGGUAAGCCUGCCGGCGGCCCACGAAACUCUGUCUGAUAUUGAAUUCUGAACCUAUAACUAAAUAAGUUAAAACUUUCAACAACGGAUCUCUUGGUUCUGGCAUCGAUGAAGAACGCAGCGAAAUGCGAUAAGUAAUGUGAAUUGCAGAAUUCAGUGAAUCAUCGAAUCUUUGAACGCACAUUGCGCCCAUUAGUAUUCUAGUGGGCAUGCCUGUUCGAGCGUCAUUUCAACCCUUAAGCCUCUGUUGCUUAGCGUUGGGAGCCUACAGCACCUGUAGCUCCUCAAAGUUAGUGGCGGAGUCGGUUCACACUCUAGACGUAGUAAUUCUUUCUCGCCUAUUAGUUGGAACCGGUCUCCCGCCGUAAA
This 488-nucleotide ribosomal RNA is filed under the name Xylaria sp. IP-30. Its description in RNAcentral is "eukaryotic LSU rRNA". The stretch from base 193 to 346 matches the Rfam family "5.8S ribosomal RNA". Lineage: Eukaryota; Fungi; Ascomycota; Sordariomycetes; Xylariales; Xylariaceae. The record is from RNAcentral.